Molecule: unclassified non-coding RNA, 240 nt
Filed under: soil metagenome
Description: partial contains 5.8S ribosomal RNA, internal transcribed spacer 2, and large subunit ribosomal RNA
Source: RNAcentral
AACCAUAGAAACCUGCGGAGUACCUGCGGAGGGAUCAUUACAGAGUUGCAAAACUCCCUAAACCAUUGUGAACGUUACCUAAACCGUUGCUUCGGCGGGCGGCCCGGGUCCUUCCCGGCGCCCCUCGGCCCUCGCGGGCGCCCGCCGGAGGUAAACCAAACUAUUGCAUUGUAUGGCCUUUCUGAGUCUUCUGUACUGAAUAAGUCAAAACUUUCAACAACGGAUCUCAGAUCGGAAGAG